UUUUUUAAGCUACUACACUGAAGGAUGCAAAGUGUUGGCCUUUUAUGCACCAGAGUUUGUAAAAGACACAAUACCAAGAUACCUGGAGCUUGCUAGUUUCCAGGAGGGAGACUAAUCCAGGAUAAUUUCUACUAUUAGGAGAAAAUUACUCUCUUGUUAUUUUUGAAGUACAUAAUGGUAAUAGUUUUCCAUUUACCCUCCUAGGUAGCCCAAGGCUUCCUGGUGCUGCUGAACCAUUAGGAUUUUUUUUUCAAAGAAAAGAAAAGAAGGAACAAAGGAUCUGGUCCCUGAUAGCUGUACCAGGAUUGACACAUUGCCCUGGCUGGUGUGGCAGGUGCCUAGGAGUGACAAGAAAUUCAGCUCAGUUCAGUUCAGAUGAAAGCUGUAACUUUCCAUGGAAACCACUGGAUUGAUUCUGUACCUUUGGCUACAGGUUUCUUCUCUGUGACAAGAGCUGCCCAGUGGACCCCUGGGCUGGAGGAGGUAACACAGCGUUUGUCACACAGAGGGCUGUCCCUGAGGAAGUGUGCAGCUAAACAACCUGAAAAAGGGGCAGGGCAGAGCACAGUCUGGGCAGCAGGAUGAUCUGGUGGAUUGAGAGGGACACAAGGGGAUUUCUGCCCUGUUCCGGGCCUUUCCUUGCUCUAAGGCUACAUGUGAUUAGAAGAGUUAGCAUUUGCCUUACAGCUUUAGUCAGGACAGACCCUGGUGGGCUGUCUCCUGGUUUGCAUGCUGAGUGUGAGAUGUUUGGAUCUGGCUGUAAACACUCCCAUUUCCAUAAACUCGGGACCAUCUUGUCUCAGUUUGAGCUCCUGAAAUUAGCGGCUUCUGUGGAAAUGCAGCCCCUUAUCUCUGUGUGAAAUAAAACUUGCAAUCCCCAUGGCACUUUUACCCACAGGGUGGGAUGCUGGGAGGACCAAACAGCUCCAAAUAUUGAACAAUGUAAGUCAGCACUAUGAGCAAUUCUUGUUGUGAGUCAAUGUUGAAUCCUUGCCAAAGAUGCCUUUUACAAAUAAAAUUUAGCACUAAUUUAUCAAUGGGUUAGUUCAAAACAUGAUGUAAAGCACUCAGUACAUAAUGAACCCGUCUGGAUCGAAAGAAAAUGCUCAUAACAACUUUAUUAUAAAUAAAUUCUAUGUUUAAGUAGACCAAA
Sturnus vulgaris (Common starling) is the source of this 1153-nucleotide non-coding RNA. The record is from RefSeq and is a predicted model, not a curated record. NCBI's taxonomy places the organism in Eukaryota, Metazoa, Chordata, Aves, Passeriformes, Sturnidae.